This 467-nucleotide ribosomal RNA is filed under the name uncultured bacterium. RNAcentral describes it as "bacterial SSU rRNA". It matches the Rfam family "Bacterial small subunit ribosomal RNA", at positions 28 to 468 of the family's 1533-position model. The record is from RNAcentral.
GACGAACGCUGGCGGCGUGCUUAACACAUGCAAGUCGAACGAGAAGAGAUGAGAAGCUUGCUUCUUAUCAAUUCGAGUGGCAAACGGGUGAGUAACGCGUAAGCAACCUGCCCUUCAGAUGGGGACAACAGCUGGAAACGGCUGCUAAUACCGAAUACGUUCUUUUUGUCGCAUGGCAGAGGGAAGAAAGGGAGGCUCUUCGGAGCUUUCGCUGAAGGAGGGGCUUGCGUCUGAUUAGAUAGUUGGUGAGGUAACGGCCCACCAAGCCGACGAUCAGUAGCCGGUCUGAGAGGAUGAACGGCCACAUUGGGACUGAGACACGGUCCAGACUCCUACGGGAGGCAGCAGUGGGGAAUCUUCCGCAAUGGCGAAAGCCUGACGGAGCGAACGCCGCCGUGAGUGAAGAAGGUUUUCGGAUCGUAAAGCGUCUGUUGUAAGAGAAGAACGGAUGUGGGAGUGGAAAAUCC